Long non-coding RNA from Equus caballus (horse), 4110 nucleotides. RefSeq lists it as uncharacterized. The record is from RefSeq and is a predicted model, not a curated record. Lineage: Eukaryota; Metazoa; Chordata; Mammalia; Perissodactyla; Equidae.
GUCCGCUCGCUGGGACUCGCCUCCUUACCCCCGCGGGGAGGGGUGAGGCGGCCGAGCGUCCGCGAUUUUCUCCUGGGGUCUCCGACGCCCGACCCUCCUUAAUGACUUGCCCAAACUAGCACUGGAGUGUGGGCACCUGAGGGGCUCUCCGGCGGCGCUCGGCAGGGAGUGGCUAAAGGACUUUUCUCCCAAGCUGAAGUAAGGAAAAAGGCAAGAAGAAUGUUAUGAAAAGAAAGAAAUUGUAGUGUGGGGCCAGGAAGGGGAAACUAGAAGACGAACUUGGACAGAGGACGCCUUUGCGAGUUUGGAAGCCGCUGCCCUCUCCAGUUUAUAAAUCCUUUAGGGAACCAGCCUCGAGGGGAAUUGGAGUGGAACAGCCAAUGUCCUUUCCCUCUGGAGUUGUCCUGGUUUUAAAUGUCUUGUCCCGUGUUUCAGAGUCACAUGGAGACUGGAAAAGGAAAUGCUCGGCGUCCUCUCACCCUGUUCUGUUUUGGGUCCGCGAUGCCCUUCUCACUGUAAACAUUGGUUGUGAGCCAUCUGGUCCUAAUCCUGUGGAAUUGGUCUGCUCAGUAAUGACAUUCCCCCACAGACCAGAAAAAUCCUCACGGAGCUGGGAAGCUGUGUGUCGUCAUGUUUCCAGGUGGUAAAGCUGCCCGCUUUUAACUCUGUCAGAAAUUUGGCCCAAAAUUUCAGAAAGAGCCAGAGAGAGGGAGAGUUUCUCGAAAAAGACCACGGGGAGAAUAACAGGCUUCUGCUCUGAAUGCCCUAUGAGCGUUAAGCCAGCUUCUCAUUGAAAAAGGUCACUUGAUCUUAGUAUCUGGCAACUUUAGAAAGCGCUCCCAUCAAGUACCUGUUUGUCAAGGUUGGCAUGUUUACUCCUUGGCUUGGCCACUGCAAUUGCCAAAGUCCUCACAACUCACUGUCUAAGAGAUUCUACCCCUGAAAGCCCGGACACUGUCUUCAUCUGCACCUGAGGAUGGAAGAAAUGUAAAGGGUUCCUCAGUGAUGACCAACAUGUCGGAAAAGGAUUUGCUGCUGGAGGGAAUGCUAUAACCCCAGUGACUCGAGCCGGGAGUCCAGAGACAGUGGGAGAGGCCAGAGAAGCUUACAAGAAAUACAGAGGACAGAAGAACAAGUUUAACAACACCAUGAGAAAACAAUAGACAAAUCCAGAAGGUGGGACAUUCUACAGAACAAUUAGCCCAGAAUCAAGAAGUCAAUGUCAUGAAACUAAAAUGCAUAAUUUUGCAAAGGAGAGGGUAACCAUGGACAAAUCACCUCUCUGUACAACAACACAAGCUACAAAUGGAGUUCUGAGCUGGAAGCAUGAGUCACCCUGAGGUGCGAUGAUCUCUGGAAAGCCAAACUUCCCAGAGAGAAGAAGCUGGGGAGCACAGGAUGCGUAUUGGUGGUCACAAUCAUCCUGCCACAGCCUUGUGACCCAAGGCUCUGCGAUGGAUCAGCCUUCCUACUCACUCCCUCCUGCGCACACCACGUCUCCAUGGAAACAGCUUGUCAGGCCCUGCUUGGCUGCAGGUUCUGAAGACCUCUCAUCUGCAGCCUCAGUCCUGCACAGAUUCAGACUUAAUAAGCCAGGCUUCUUAGUAGGAGCUUGUGUUAGGAGCCCCAUGCUCUCUAGCCAGUGGGGUCUGGAAUUAUCCUUAAACUUCUUUUGGGGUACACCUGGGAAGUCCCUAGCACCACUGAGUUGCCCUGACCUUCCACCACUGAUAUUCAGGCCAGCGGCCGGGUUUCUGCCCUGGGUUCCUGCUUCAACCUGAACUCAUCAUCUGCUUCCAGCAAGCCGUUUCCUCCCAUCAUCUCCCCCCACCCACAAAGGUGAGAGCCAUUCUGAGCUCUUCAGACCCCACCUGUGGUUGAUCACCAGGGACAGUUGGUGCAACCGCCUUUGUAUCUCUCAAACUCAUCUUUCUCUGCAUCCCUAUUACCUCUGCUAUGGUUCAGGCCACGUCAUUUCCUUUUUCAAUUACCGCAAGAUCCUCCAACCUGGUCUUCCUACUUCCAUGCUUGCUUUCCGUGCAUCCACUCUCCACAUGACAACUAGUGAGAAAACUUUCUAAAACAGCAGACCCGACAUGUCCUUCUCCCACAGAAAGUCAGUCAGCAUUUCCCGUUGUUCUCAGGAUUGAUUUCAGCCUGCUCACAUGACACAUAAGAUUACACCUUCAUAAUCUGAUCCCUGCUCACCUCUCCAGGAUUAUCUCUUGCCACUUUUCCUGCAUGUUCUGACCUCAGCCACACCAAACCACUUUACUGCUCCAAUGAGCCGCCUGUUCUCUCUCGCUACUGGGACUUUGCAUUGCUGCCUCCUCCACCUGCAGUGUCCUUCUUCCCCUCCUUCUGUAUAAGCCUUUCACACGUUCCCGGGAAAGCUUUCCCAACUCCCGAAUCUUAAGCUCCUCCUCUGAAUUCUAGAGCUCCUGUGUUUAUUCCCUUUCUGCCUUUCUGCUGAACUGUCAACUCCCCAAGGGCAGAGUGGGCCAACUCUAGCUCAGUGCCUAGCACAUUCACUCAAAUGUCUGUUGUAUAAGUGAAAGAAUGAAGAAUAAGCCUCUGGAAUAAAAAUGUCACCAUAUGCUGAUUAUAAGUAUAUUCUUUUCCAGAGUCUUCUCUUGUCAGGCACCAUUUAUCCACCAGAUUGGACCAGCUAUGAGUUUGCUACACCGCCAGGACACUGCAACUUGGACUGCUGGCCAUUGUCCUUAGGGGCACUUCUACAAAUGGGUCAGUUGCCCCAGCUCAGCUCUGGCUAGUUCUGGUUGCCUCCUUUUUGUUAGUCUCUGGGGAGGUCCCUGCUGGCCUGUGGCUGAACCCGUGUGGCCUCUGUCAGCAGCUGGAGAGCCAUUCCUAAGAGCUGAGAUAGUGAGUCAGCCCUCCUCUCAUUGCCCAGGGAAGAUUCCUUCCUCACUGAUUAUACAGUGUCACCCAGGCUAUGUUUUUCUUAGUGGAACCCAAGAUUUGGAAUCGUUGUAAGAGGAGAAAAUGGCAGAUAAUCUCAGGAAUACACAAGAUCUGUCAUGUUUCUCCAGGAGAAGUAUUUUGGUGGGGGGUGGGGGGAGUGACGGAAGUGGUAAGAGAUCUGUGUUCAUAGAUAAAGAAAUAAAUCAAAGGAGGAGUUGAGUGUAUAUGGACCUUUUCCCCCAGAGAUUUCAAUGGAUUAUCUGGGAAAGAAGCCAGAAAAAGAGACCUCUCACCAGAGGUGGGUGUCCACCCAUGUGGGUACGUAGUGUUAAAGAGCCCCCAGCCUUCAAUGCUGUCCCAUUCACUUUUUCCUAAAUUAACACACCUCUCACCUUCCCAAAAUGAGAAACCAACCAACUUUUUGCUGGGGACCUGGAUAAGACAAAAAAACCAUGGCUUUUGCCUCAAACUGAGUUCCCUUGCUACCAGUGUUGGGCUUUCAAAGACAGAGAGGAGUAAGGACUCUAGAAGAGGCGGUAACAAAGCACAGGCACAAUCUCACUUUCUUCCUUGCAGUAAGAAAGCAAAAGAUCCAUUAGAUGAGAAAGUGUAUGUGAAAGCACUUAGCACAGUGCUUGGCAAAUGGAUGGAAUUCAAUAAUAUUGACUUUUUUUUUGUUUUAUCUACACUCAGUGUAGGGACCCAUAAGGCAGUUUUAUGUGUUGGAAGAAUAACAGGGCAACUGGUGAGAGUGGCGGAGUAUUCUCUACCUGGAUGAUAGCUAAAAUUUUGCCAUUAGAGGUUCUUUCCUUUGACUAUUAAAAAACAAAUACCAAUUAGAGGCAAAACACAUUGUCUUCAGACAUUUCAAGUUUACUAUUAAUGGUUGGUUAUAUUCUUUUCUUUUUACAGGCAGUAGUGGAAAGAACUUAAAGGCAUUAAACAUCAUCGUAGAUGAGGGGAAAGUACAAAUUUUUUAUUUCUCAAAGCUAAACAAAAACCUAUCUGUCUAAAUUGGAAUACUAUUACUCCUAUAACUUCUACUAUAUAAAUAAAUAGUUUUAACAAGUAUAAGGUUCUAGUAGAAACGAGACAGCAAAUGUAGAGACCAAGCAACAACUGGGUCAUCUCCCUCGGUACUGAGGCAGUGUCUUAGUUGGACAGAUUAGGACCGGCAGAUCUUGUCUG